UUAACCCUGAGGUGUUCGCCCGUUGACGAGUCCUCGAGCCGAUAAUGAAGAAAUCGGGUUUUUCUCGCCGCUGUUGGUGUGCACGUCCACACGUUGGAAAGCCUAAUACAGCGCAGAAUUUCCCCCCUUGAACCGUCGGGUUCAAGGCCAAGUCAGCCGCGGCGCCCUGGGGCCUAA
This 177-nucleotide non-coding RNA is filed under the name Pseudoteredinibacter isoporae. RNAcentral describes it as "gamma proteobacterium sw-11 6S / SsrS RNA". It matches the Rfam family "6S / SsrS RNA". From Rfam's summary of the family: E. coli 6S RNA was the first non coding RNA to be sequenced, but its function was unknown until recently. It consists of 184 nucleotides that fold into an extended hairpin structure with a large single-stranded internal bulge. The record is from Rfam by way of RNAcentral. Lineage: Bacteria; Pseudomonadati; Pseudomonadota; Gammaproteobacteria; Cellvibrionales; Cellvibrionaceae.